GACGAACGCUGGCGGCGUGCUUAACACAUGCAAGUCGAACGGAAAGGCCCUGCUUUUGUGGGGUGCUCGAGUGGCGAACGGGUGAGUAACACGUGAGUAACCUGCCCUUGACUUUGGGAUAACUUCAGGAAACUGGGGCUAAUACCGGAUAGGAGCUCCUGCUGCAUGGUGGGGGUUGGAAAGUUUCGGCGGUUGGGGAUGUACUCGCGGCUUAUCAGCUUGUUGGUGGGGUAGUGGCUUACCAAGGCUUUGACGGGUAGCCGGCCUGAGAGGGUGACCGGCGACAUUGGGACUGAGAUACGGCGCAGACUCGUACGGGAGGCAGCAGUGGGGAAUAUGAAACAAUGGGCGGAAGCGUGAUGCAGAGACGCCGCGUGCGGGAUGACGGCCUUCGGGUUGUAAACCGCUUUCGCCUGUGACGAAGCGUGAGUGACGGUAAUGGGUAAAGAAGCACCGGCUAACUACGUG
RNAcentral lists this ribosomal RNA (468 nucleotides) under uncultured bacterium. RNAcentral's name for it is "partial 16S ribosomal RNA". It matches the Rfam family "Bacterial small subunit ribosomal RNA", at positions 28 to 507 of the family's 1533-position model. The record is from RNAcentral.